Molecule: transfer RNA, 93 nt
Filed under: Achromobacter anxifer
Lineage: Bacteria; Pseudomonadati; Pseudomonadota; Betaproteobacteria; Burkholderiales; Alcaligenaceae
Description: tRNA-Tyr
Source: RNAcentral
GGAGGUCUUGCAGCUAUGGCGUGUGCUGCCCCGGAUUGUAAAUCCGGUCCCACUGGGUAAACAUUCUCGGUUCGAAUCCGAGGGCCUCCACCA